Molecule: unclassified non-coding RNA, 3030 nt
Filed under: Owenia fusiformis
Lineage: Eukaryota; Metazoa; Annelida; Polychaeta; Sabellida; Oweniidae
Description: sodium/nucleoside cotransporter
Source: RNAcentral
UUUCAAUUCAACAAAUAUGAUGGUGUAGUUUGAAAUAAGAUAUUAUGACUUCUUGUGAUCAUAAAAGAGCGGAUUACUAUAGCUUCCAAUAAAGGAUUGUAAUCUAAUACGCACAGUUCAAUCUGGAAGAGAUACUUUUAAACAGGUCCUCGGAUAAUCUGAGGGAGUCAACAAUGCCGAAUACCAAAACUUCAGGUGUGCACAACGGGGGGAGUUCCGACAAUAAUGACUAUUACGUCGACAAGAAAGAAAGGCCUACUAGCGAGGUAUAUGAAAAUAAAGGAUUCGAAAAAAGCGAAGAGGAUAUCAAUGUUACGACAAUCUCAGAUGGAAAAGACACGCCAACAAAGGGUUCGAAUGGCCACCUCUUGAAUUCAUAUAGUGGAACAGAUGAAACCUCGUUUGUUAAUCAAAAUGGUUCGAAUGGCCAUCACUUGAAUUCAUAUAGUGGGACAGAUGAGACCUCAUCUGAUGAAAGAAACGGAUAUAGAGCCAUUAAAAAUGGCGACAUAGAAGCAUCCAAGAAUGAUGCUGCUGGUAAAGAACCGUAUGACAAUCUAGAUGAGCCAAAUCCCAACUGCUGUAUUGCAGCUAUUGGAAGAGCACAGGGGACGCUUGAUGCAUUUUACAAGACCCAUGGAACACUAAUAUGGCGUGUAAUUGGAGCCAUUCUACUUCUUGGCUACGCAGCAUACUUUGGAUAUGCCAUGUAUCAUCGAUUCGGAGAUGAAGGAUCAGUACGACUUCUUGCGAUGACAGGCUUUGCAGUAUUCUGUGUCGCAUAUUCAUUGAUCAAAACUCAUCUCGGUGACCACAUUUAUAAUGGAUGCAUCGAGCCUGUUGUUGGCUUCCUUGUCAAACAUUGGAAAUAUCUAAAGUGGGUCGGGGUCUUCCUCAUAGUUGGUGGAUUCACUGCGUAUAUCAUAGCAGAUAUUGCUAUAAAAUAUUCCACUAACCUAAUUUCGUUGAGCGGUAUGGUGGUCUUUAUACUUCUUCUGUUCAUAUUCUCGCACAAUCCCGCGAGAGUUAGAUGGAGGCCGGUAUUCUUUGGUCUGACUCUACAGAUGGUGUUCGCCCUUCUUAUCCUGAGAACGUCGGCUGGCUGUGAGACAUUCAAAUGGCUAGGCAGUCGUGUAUCUGAAUUCCUGGCGCACACAGAUGCCGGAUCCAGAUUUGUGUUUGGCGAUUCAUUUGAAGACCAUCGGUUUGCUUUUAAGAUCCUGCCAGUUGUCAUCUUCUUCAGUUGUUUCAUCUCUGUGUUGUACUAUUUGGGCGUUAUGCAACUGGUCAUAGGUAAGGUUGCCUGGGUGAUGCAAGCUACCAUGGGAACCACUGCCGCGGAGUCUGUCAAUGCUGCUGGGAACAUAUUUGUUGGUAUGACCGAAGCCCCAUUGUUGAUACGGCCGUUAAUCAAUGACAUGACAAAGUCCGAGCUACACGCUGUAAUGACGGGAGGGUUUGCAACAAUAGCAGGGAGUGUGCUUGCCUCGUUUAUUCUGUUCGGUGUUCCUGCCAAUCACCUCCUCUCUGCCUCUGUGAUGGCCGCCCCAGCAGCUCUGGCCACAUCUAAAUUGUUCUAUCCCGAGACCGAAGAGUCGAAGACUACAGCCACGAAUGUACAAGUAAUGGAGAAGAGUGAUCAUACAAACAUCAUAGAGGCGGCCUCAAGUGGAGCUUCUUCGGCCAUUUCUCUGGUGGCAAACAUCGGGGCCAAUCUCAUAGCUUUCCUUGCAAUGCUGGCCUUCAUUAAUGCAACUCUCACGUGGUUCGGCGCAAGAGUGGGGCUGGAGCCCCCAAACUACCCCGCUCUAACAUUUCAGUUCAUCAUGUCGUAUCUUCUGUGGCCAGCGGCUUUCCUAAUGGGCGUCCGUUGGCAGGACUGUCGCACUGUUGCCCAGUUAAUCGGAGUGAAAACCUUCCUGAACGAGUUCGUGGCCUACACCGACCUUGGUGUGAUUAUCAAUAAUAGACGUGCCCUGCAGAACUAUACAAUGAUAUAUAAUGAGACUGGAAUAGAACAAAGAAGCAACGGAGAUAUAUUUCUAGGGAAUACAAACACGACGUUGGUUGGUGGAGUGAUUGAGGAGCGUUCUGAAGUAAUCUCAACAUAUGCUUUAUGUGGGUUUGCUAAUAUUGGCGCUAUUGGUAUAAUGUUAGGAGGACUAGGCUCAAUGGCGCCGAACCGAAAAGGGGAGCUCUCCAAGAUGGCGGUCAGGGCGAUGAUCGCUGGGAUGACUGCUAACUUUCUCACGGCCAGCAUAGCAGGGCUUUUGUAUCAAGGUAGCGUAUCAAAGUGCUAAAGAGACACGGAGCUCCAACACACGUGUACAUAGAAGAAUACAUACUAGACUAUGUAUUACUAUAAGUAGCUCAGCAGACAGGAUGAUGGCGAAUUCAACUCAUCAUUGAUUUGAGACAUAAUCAUAAAAACGCUGGUUUCAUAAAUUGGAUAUCUCAUCCAAACGAAACUAAAUAUAAAACAUGAUAUAGACAUGGAAUGGCUUAAGGAAUGGCUUAAGGAAUGAUACAUUAUGAUGUUCAUAAAAUGAAAGCAACUAUAAAACGCAGCAGUGUAUUUGAUGUGACAGAGCAAGCUGGAUAUAUCUGAAUAUUCCUGGAGCUCCUCAAACUGUGAUUAUAUACUUAUGGAGCAAGCAUUUGAUUGAUGGACCAGCGCAAUCAAAGGGCCCGAUGAGAUAUACUAUAAUAAACAAUGAUUGGUACUUAGGUAACCAUGUCCGGGCUACCGAACGAAUCGUCGUGAUGAACAAAAAUGAUCGAUUGAAACUGCAUAUGAUGAUCAUAAUAAAUGUAAAUAUUAAUAUCAUGACCAUACGCUUAUGAACUUUGUUCAUCUUGAACUGAAAUUUUGCUGAAAAUAUGAAUUGUGGAAUUGUGAAAUGGGGAGUUUAUGGUCAAAUAAGAAAUACUCGGAUUUUAUAAAUUCAGAUAGUUUCAGCAUAAAACAAAGCCAAAAUCGUUUGUUUGUAUAAUUAUUAAAAGAUAGAAUAAACAACACAUUUUUCUUAA